GGGGAAUAUUGGACAAUGGGGGCAACCCUGAUCCAGCAAUGCCGCGUGAGUGAUGAAGGCCUUCGGGUUGUAAAGCUCUUUUGGCGGGGACGAUGAUGACGGUACCCGCAGAAUAAGCCCCGGCUAACUUCGUGCCAGCAGCCGCGGUAAUACGAAGGGGGCAAGCGUUGUUCGGAAUUACUGGGCGUAAAGGGCGCGUAGGCGGCCGAUCAAGUCAGGCGUGAAAUUCCCGGGCUCAACCCGGGGGCUGCGCUUGAUACUGAUUGGCUUGAAUACGGGAGAGGAUAGUGGAAUUCCCAGUGUAGAGGUGAAAUUCGUAGAUAUUGGGAAGAACACCAGUGGCGAAGGCGGCUAUCUGGCCCGUUAUUGACGCUGAGGCGCGAAAGCGUGGGGAGCAAAC
Molecule: ribosomal RNA, 400 nt
Filed under: uncultured bacterium
Lineage: Bacteria
Description: bacterial SSU rRNA
Rfam family: Bacterial small subunit ribosomal RNA
Source: RNAcentral